GAUCCUGGCUCAGGAUGAACGCUAGCGGCAGGCCUAACACAUGCAAGUCGAGGGGUAGAGUUCUUCGGAACUUGAGACCGGCGCACGGGUGCGUAACGCGUAUGCAAUCUACCUUAUACAGGGGAAUAGCCCAGAGAAAUUUGGAUUAAUGCCCCAUGGUAUUAUAGAGUGGCAUCACUUUUAUAAUUAAAGUUCCAACGGUAUAAGAUGAGCAUGCGUCCCAUUAGUUAGUUGGUAAGGUAACGGCUUACCAAGACAAUGAUGGGUAGGGGUCCUGAGAGGGAGAUCCCCCACACUGGUACUGAGACACGGACCAGACUCCUACGGGAGGCAGCAGUGAGGAAUAUUGGUCAAUGGGCGCAAGCCUGAACCAGCCAUGCCGCGUGCAGGAAGAAGCAUCUAUGGUGUGUAAACUGCUUUUAUACAGGAAGAAACAACUCUACGUGUAGAGUCUUGACGGUACUGUAGGAAUAAGGACCGGCUAACUCCGUG
RNAcentral lists this ribosomal RNA (492 nucleotides) under uncultured bacterium. RNAcentral's name for it is "bacterial SSU rRNA". It matches the Rfam family "Bacterial small subunit ribosomal RNA", at positions 15 to 507 of the family's 1533-position model. The record is from RNAcentral.